RNAcentral lists this unclassified non-coding RNA (306 nucleotides) under plant metagenome. Its description in RNAcentral is "partial contains 5.8S ribosomal RNA, internal transcribed spacer 2, and large subunit ribosomal RNA". The stretch from base 1 to 104 matches the Rfam family "5.8S ribosomal RNA", at positions 50 to 154 of the family's 154-position model. The record is from RNAcentral.
GAAAUGCGAUAAGUAAUGCGAAUUGCAGAAUCCGUGAAUCAUUGAAUCUUUGAACGCACAUUGCGCCUCCUGGUAUUCCGGGAGGCACGCCUGUUCGAGCGCCAUUUCAACCUCCAAGCCUGGCUUGAUGUUGGACGAUGUUUAGUAUAAACAGGUCCGAAACGCGUCGGCGUCCGGCGACGACCGCGAGCGUAGCACGAAAAUACGUUUUCAUUCGCUCUGCGGAUCGUUCUCCGGUUCCGCCUUGUUUUGUCUUUUACCAAAGGUUGGCCUCGGAUCAGGUGGGGAUACCCGCUGAACUUAAGC